GGCUGGGUGGCGAAAUGGCAGACGCGCACGGCUUAGGACCGUGUGCCGCAAGGCAUGGGGGUUCAAGUCCCCCCCCAGCCA
Molecule: transfer RNA, 81 nt
Filed under: Elusimicrobiota bacterium
Lineage: Bacteria; Pseudomonadati; Elusimicrobiota
Description: Elusimicrobia bacterium (groundwater metagenome) tRNA-Leu
Rfam family: tRNA
About the family: Transfer RNA (tRNA) molecules are approximately 80 nucleotides in length. Their secondary structure includes four short double-helical elements and three loops (D, anti-codon, and T loops).
Source: RNAcentral